GGAGCUUGCUCCCGGACGUUAGCGGCGGACGGGUGAGUAACACGUAGGUAACCUGCCCCUUAGACUGGGAUAACUCCGGGAAACCGGAGCUAAUACGGGAUAAUAAAGAGAAUCACCUGAUUUUCUUUUGAAAGACGGUUUCGGCUGUCACUAAGGGAUGGGCCUGCGGCGCAUUAGCUAGUUGGUAAGGUAACGGCUUACCAAGGCGACGAUGCGUAGCCGACCUGAGAGGGUGAUCGGCCACACUGGGACUGAGACACGGCCCAGACUCCUACGGGAGGCAGCAGUAGGGAAUCUUCCGCAAUGGACGAAAGUCUGACGGAGCAACGCCGCGUGAGUGAGGAAGGCCUUCGGGUCGUAAAGCUCUGUUGUGAGGGAAGAACAAGUACCGGGAGUAACUACCGGUACCUUGACGGUACCUCACCAGAGGCCACGGCUAACUACGUGCCAGCAGCCGCGGUAAUACGUAGGUGGGCAAGCGUUGUCCGGGAAUUAUUGGGCGUAAAGCGCGCGCAGGCGGCUUCUUAAGUCUGAUGUGAAAUCUCGGGGCUCAACCCCGAGCGGCCAUUGGAAACUGGGAAGCUUGAGUGCAGAAGAGGAG
Molecule: ribosomal RNA, 601 nt
Filed under: uncultured Bacillus sp.
Lineage: Bacteria; Bacillati; Bacillota; Bacilli; Caryophanales; Bacillaceae
Description: bacterial SSU rRNA
Rfam family: Bacterial small subunit ribosomal RNA
Source: RNAcentral